GUUGUAUGGUUAAGUGACUAAGCGUACACGGUGGAUGCCUGGGCAGUCAGAGGCGAUGAAGGACGUACUAACUUGCGAUAAGCGCAGAUAAGGCAGUAAGAGCCGUUUGAGUCUGCGAUUUCCGAAUGGGGAAACCCAACUGCAUAAGCAGUUACUGUUAACUGAAUACAUAGGUUAACAGAGCAAACCGGGGGAACUGAAACAUCUAAGUACCCCGAGGAGAAGAAAUCAACCGAGAUUCCGGUAGUAGCGGCGAGCGAACCUGGAUUAGCCCUUAAGCACUCGGUGAAGUAGGUGAACAAGCUGGAAAGCUUGGCGAUACAGGGUGAUAGCCCCGUAACCGACGCUUCAUCGAGCGUGAAAUCGAGUAGGGCGGGACACGUGAUAUCCUGUCUGAAUAUGGGGGGACCAUCCUCCAAGGCUAAAUACUCCUGACUGACCGAUAGUGAACCAGUACCGUGAGGGAAAGGCGAAAAGAACCCCUGUGAGGGGAGUGAAAUAGAACCUGAAACCGUGUACGUACAAGCAGUAGGAGCACCUUCGUGGUGUGACUGCGUACCUUUUGUAUAAUGGGUCAGCGACUUAUAUUCAGUGGCAAGGUUAACCGUAUAGGGGAGCCGUAGCGAAAGCGAGUCUUAACUGGGCGCUCAGUCUCUGGAUAUAGACCCGAAACCGGGUGAUCUAGCCAUGGGCAGGUUGAAGGUUGAGUAACAUCAACUGGAGGACCGAACCGACUAAUGUUGAAAAAUUAGCGGAUGACUUGUGGCUAGGGGUGAAAGGCCAAUCAAACUCGGAGAUAGCUGGUUCUCCCCGAAAGCUAUUUAGGUAGCGCCUCGGACGAAUACUACUGGGGGUAGAGCACUGUUAAGGCUAGGGGGUCAUCCCGACUUACCAACCCUUUGCAAACUCCGAAUACCAGUAAGUACUAUCCGGGAGACACACGGCGGGUGCUAACGUCCGUCGUGGAGAGGGAAACAACCCAGACCGCCAGCUAAGGUCCCAAAGUAUUGCUAAGUGGGAAACGAUGUGGGAAGGCUCAGACAGCUAGGAUGUUGGCUUAGAAGCAGCCAUCAUUUAAAGAAAGCGUAAUAGCUCACUAGUCGAGUCGGCCUGCGCGGAAGAUGUAACGGGGCUAAGCAAUACACCGAAGCUGCGGCAAU
RNAcentral lists this ribosomal RNA (1160 nucleotides) under Vibrio cholerae. Its description in RNAcentral is "partial 23S ribosomal RNA". It matches the Rfam family "Bacterial large subunit ribosomal RNA", at positions 1 to 1209 of the family's 2925-position model. RNAcentral also lists the same sequence under 1 other name. The record is from RNAcentral. Lineage: Bacteria; Pseudomonadati; Pseudomonadota; Gammaproteobacteria; Vibrionales; Vibrionaceae.